This 370-nucleotide ribosomal RNA is filed under the name uncultured bacterium. RNAcentral's name for it is "bacterial SSU rRNA". It matches the Rfam family "Bacterial small subunit ribosomal RNA", at positions 28 to 353 of the family's 1533-position model. The record is from RNAcentral.
GAUUAACGCUGGCGGCAUGCCUAAGACAUGCAAGUCGAACGGGAAGCCCCAAUGAAAAUGGAAUGAAGUUGAAGAGCUUGCUCUGAUAUGGAAUGAAGUUGGAUUUGGAUUCUGCUUCCAGUGGCGAACGGGUGAGUAACACGUGGGUUAUCUGCCUUCAAGCUGGGGAUAACGGUUAGAAAUGAUCGCUAAUACCGAAUGUGCUAGUAAUAGUAAAGGCGCUCUUAAGCGUCACUUGAAGAUGAGCCUGCGGCGUAUUAGCUAGUUGGUGGGGUAAUGGCCUACCAAGGCGACGAUGCGUAACCGGACUGAGAGGUUGAACGGUCACACUGGGACUGAGACACGGCCCAGACUCCUACGGGAGACAGCG